AGCGAACGUUAGCGGCGGGCCUAACACAUGCAAGUCGAGCGAGAAAGGGGCUUCGGCCUCGAGUAGAGCGGCGGACGGGUGAGGAACACGUAGGUAAUCUGCCCUUCGAUGGAGGACAACGGUCCGAAAGGACCGCUAAUACUGCAUACGUUCCCCGGGAUUCCGGUCCUGGGGAGGAAAGCCUCGCAAGGGGCGUCGGAGGAGGAGCCUGCGUCGCAUCGGCUAGUUGGUGGGGUAACAGCCUACCAAGGCGAGACGCGUAGCUGGUCUGAGAGGAUGAUCAGCCACACUGGGACUGAGACACGGCCCAGACUCCUACGGGAGGGCAGCAGUGGGGAAUAUUGGACAAUGGGCGCAAG
Molecule: ribosomal RNA, 359 nt
Filed under: uncultured bacterium
Lineage: Bacteria
Description: bacterial SSU rRNA
Rfam family: Bacterial small subunit ribosomal RNA
Source: RNAcentral